UACGAAGGGGGCUAGCGUUGCUCGGAAUCACUGGGCGUAAGGGGCACGUAGGGGGAUGUUUAGGUCGGGGGGGAAAGCCUGGAGCUCAACUCCAGAACUGCCUUUGAUACUGGGGAUCUCGAGUCCGGAAGAGGUGAGUGGAACUCCGAGUGUAGAGGUGAAAUUCGUAGAUAUUCGGAAGAACACCAGUGGCGAAGGCGGCUCACUGGUCCGGUACUGACGCUGAGGUGCGAAAGCGUGGGGAGCAAACAGG
Molecule: ribosomal RNA, 253 nt
Filed under: uncultured bacterium
Lineage: Bacteria
Description: partial 16S ribosomal RNA
Rfam family: Bacterial small subunit ribosomal RNA
Source: RNAcentral